Molecule: long non-coding RNA, 1999 nt
Organism: Dermacentor andersoni
Lineage: Eukaryota; Metazoa; Arthropoda; Arachnida; Ixodida; Ixodidae
Source: RefSeq, a predicted model, not a curated record
GUGUGUCAAAUUUGCCACCUCCCAGAGCUGCUCCAAAACUUCUUUGACUGCUUCCAUCCCUGUAUGAGUGGCCCAUAUAAUGUUUAAUGAAAUUAUCACUGGCAUCCCAGAAACUUCAACAUUUAACAUCCGCCUGCCAAAGUGUCUACAUCUCAACAUUUUGGUUAGAACUGAUCACUUUAUUUGCUGCAGGACUGAAGCUGUCUUGAUAUCUACAAUACAUUGGACACUGCAUGCAGGAUUAUGAAUGGAUACCUGAACACUGCUUGAAGGAGCAAGCUCUACAGCAUCACUUAUGCUCCUUUCCAUGGGUUGGCAAGAGGAACCGUGGCACGCAACUCUACAGGCACCUGUGCUCUUCACUACCUUCGGAGGAGAGAUGCAUUGAAUGCUCCCUAUCAUGCACUGCCAUCUCAACAGUACCAUGGCUUUUUGUGUGGAUUCCUUCCCUUUUGAAGGCCACCACUGUUUGCACAGCAUCACAGCCUGCCUGCCUUGAUCUUGCGGAAGAAGAAAAUACAAAAUGCCUAUUUUUUGAAAUGCAUGCAUGGCUUCAUGCAACACCACCUGUCGUCGGGGUGUUAAGGCUUUUUGCAGAGAAAAUGUAAUGACGCCUUAUGUGUGCCCUGGUGGCAAAGUGUUUGCCUCUUUGCCUGUGUAAAAAUUUCACACUUAUGGAUACUGUUAAAGGUUCCUGUAUCAUAUUUUCUUUCACAUCCUAAGAAAUUUUUGUUUCAUUAUAAAACUAAAAAUUAUAGUUGAAUUGCUGCUUUGUGUGAUAUGCAAUAUUCAGCUGAAGGUGAUCAGCAGAGGUCGAACAAGUGUUAUGUCAGGUGGAGAAAUUUUUUUGAGAAGUGGACUUCUUCGUUAGGGUAACAAUCGUUUUCCUUGGCAGUAUUUAUAUAGUUCACUUUUCUCCACUCCAUGGAUAUCCAGCAAAAUGAGUGAGUGCAUAGAGAAGGUGAGGUAAGUUUAAAUGCUCACCAUGGGGGUUUAGUUGGGGUAGCAAGGUGUGUAGAAGUAUGGGAGUUUGGCAGGUUGCUGGCACCAAUUUCUAUGAGUGAUCUUGUUGUUUGUGUCUAUGUCAGUUAUAUAAUGCGAGGCGUCUUCUGAUGCCAGAAAUUUUGAAAAAAAAAAACUCCUUAUAUUUGUGGAAAUUCAGUAUGUGCCCCGGGGGCUACUACGAGCACUUGGGGCCACUGGGUAGAUGCAGCUCUCCAAUGAACUUUUUUGACACAAACUUGUGUAUGUACGCUGGGUGUGUGCCACUGCAUAUGUGCCACUCUUUAAUGAACCUCUUUGAUGCUGACUUAGGUCAUGGGGCAUCACAACACAAACCUAUGUAGCGACAUCUGUGUAUGCAAGUAAGUGUGAGCUGGAAUUGUCUGCUUGGAUUUUCUUUUCCUGAUGACGACUAGUCCCCUUGUUGAAUUAACUUCAGCCUGAGAUAUCACCUGUUUGUCUACUGUUAUAACAUUAUGCCCAUUUUGCUGUGAACUUGUCAUGUUCUCUAGCUGGCAAGCUUGAAUUUCAGGUGCUGCACGCUAAGGAAAUUGAUUCAGAGUGGGUGGUACCACUUCUGCUUUUUCUUUGCAGCUGUGUGUUACAUGAGUUGUACGUAGAUGUCUAUUAGAAAUAGCAUAGUUAUUCAAAGGUACUUUCAUUAUGUUCUAGGUCAUUGGUGCUGUCUGGCCUCCUUUGCAUCAUUUUUUGUAGCAUGCUUUUUACAUGCAAAAACAAAUGUGGCCUGUUCUAAUGCAUGCAAGGACUGCCCAAUAGCUCAUGAUGUUUUGAGCCGCUGAAUUUCAGUCUUGGCUGCACUUGUGGAUUUUCAACUGUACUGAAGCUUGCAAUAUGCUUGAAUUUCCUGUCAAACUGGUUUGCUUGUUUGUAUCCAAUUUAUUGAAUUAUUUCACUUUCAUUAUGCUAAUAGUCAUUGAUUGUACUAUCAUGCUGGCACAUUUGAUUCUGGAACUGCAAUAAAUUUCCAGACAUUUUA